Molecule: long non-coding RNA, 4229 nt
Organism: Cavia porcellus (domestic guinea pig)
Lineage: Eukaryota; Metazoa; Chordata; Mammalia; Rodentia; Caviidae
Exons: 6
Source: RefSeq, a predicted model, not a curated record
GAAAAAGCAAAUCACAGACAAGUGGGGUGGGAGGAAGGAGGUAGUGGAGUUUCACUUCUACAAAAUGAAAAAGUUCUGGAUACCAAUGGAGAUGGAAGCCGCACAACAUGGUGAAUUGCCACCGGUUUUAAACAAAAGAGACCGCUGAGUAAGACUCCUGGUGACGCCCUCCUGGUGAGCCCCGAGAGGCAGGAGUGGUUGGACUAAUUUGCAUUCUCACCAACUCUGACCGAUGAGCGCCCUCCAGUACUCCCGGUUUAGAGGAGUAAUUUCCCAGGACGUACUCCCACGGAUUCUCUCACAGCUACAAGUGACAGAAGACCCGAGCAACUUAAGGAACAGAAGAAAGUGACUGAUGGAAAUGAAAAGUUUAAGAGGCACUGAAAUCACUUCCAAAUGGAUCAGGGACCUAAAGGAAACAAAGCCGUAAAGAUUCUAAAUGGAGGGCAGGUGGAGAAGGCAGCUCAUUGCACCCUAACUGUAGAUGCCACAUGCUGGUGAAAAGGCUUCCUUGCGAAAAUUAACCCAGACAGAGUGGCAGCUGCCACGAAGAUGUGGGUGUGGUGAUUAGCAGCCACCAAGGGCCGAGUGGUGUGAGAUACUGGAGUCCUGUAAACGGGCCAAGGAUGCAGCCCUUUCCGACCCCUGGUGGACGUGUCCCAGAAGCUCUGCUCACCUGUGACCACCAUCCGUUUCCCCACAGUCGCAGACAGCGGCUCCUGGUAGGACAGGGACGCCAUAGUGACAGACUUUCUGGGCCGCUGGGACCAGGCUGGCUCCCACAGACUGGUGAAGCUGCACCACGAGACCGAAGACCUGCCCUCCCCGAGGAGACCUGGCUGGUUGCUAAGAACUCUUAUGACAAGAGAAAGGGUGUCCCAGCUACCAGCCCAGCAUUCCAGACUGCCAGCACCCACAGCCUCGGCAGUGGCUCCCCCGGGAAUGGCCUCAGCGAUGACUCUCCUUUUCUGUCCAGGGUCUCAAUAUGUGAUCCUCCCACCUCAGCCUCCUGAAUGCUGGGAUUACCGGUGUGCCCUCGGCAUCUUUGGUGUCACCCCAGGAUGAUGCAGCCACAGCUGCGAGGCAAGGCACAUGGAAUGUGGUUAGCACCACUCAGCGCCUCCCUCCCUCCUCUCAAAGGGCAGCAGCUCGGAUUCCCAUUCAUAGCACGGUGAAUGCCUGUGUUCGUAUUUUCAUGGAGCCUCAUGCAGAGUUUCUGUUAAACCUUCUGACUUUUGUCUAUGUGUUACUUAAGAAAUAAUAUCAACAAUUUACAGGUACUUUGUUAAUGUGAUUGAAUGUCUUGCCAUAUAUUUAAGGGUUAUGAGCAUUAUUUUUGUAAAGUGUUUAGUUUUUCUUUUGUGUAUUUGAAUAUUUUUCUAUCAGAUUGUAACUUUCUAAUAUCCUUCUUUUCAAAGAGUGAGCUAACCUGCUGAAGAGACCUGCAGAGUUUUGCCGUGCAGUGCAGCAAGUGUUACGAUGUCUGAGGGAACCCCCUCAGCGUGAAGCUGCUUUGUGCACAGAGCCUUUGGAGCAGAGGGGACCCAGCUUGGGACAGAGUGCAGGGCGAGGCAGGAGUUUCUGAGGAAAUGGCGUCUGAGCUAUGUUUAAAGGGUGACCAGGGUCCAGGUAAAGGAUGGAAAGCUAGAGCCUGGCGUGGGCAGGAAGAGAUUCUGUAAAGAAGACAGCAGAGCAGAGCAGAAGGCUCUGAGGGGGAGAAAUACCAUCCCACGGCACAUUACGCAGCACAAGCCCCAAUUCAACGCUGCUGGAGUCAUGACUAAGAGGGUGUCUUAGCCAACUUUCCAUCACGGUGGCGACUUGGCUUUGGUUUCAAACAGAUCAGUCCCUGCUCAGUCGGCCUGGUGGCUCUGGGGCUGGUGGUGAGCUGGUGCAUCGUGGGAGGCUCAUAUUGGGAAGCCAGGGUCCCCAUAUCCCUUUCCUGGGAAGGCCUCCAGGACCUCCCGAAGACCCCCACCUGUCCUGAUCCCACCAUGUGACAGGCUCGUGGGGAUCCUGGCCUAAGCUCUGCCUGAAGGUGAGCUGAUGACAAGGCCCUGCACCCUGGGCGAGCCACAGGCUUUGUUCCCCGUAGUGAGCACCCGGAAAGGCAGUGAGCAGGGCGGGGACUUGGUACUCUGUGAAGAACAGUCUUGAGGCGGAAGGCUUGGAGUCCCAGCGCCCUUGCAGGCAACUGGUGAGGUCAUCCAGGAAAUCUAAAAUGAGCCCUGAACUGGGCCUGGGGCCACAGGAAGGGAGGGGACGAAUGGGGAGGAGGUGGCAGAGGGUGAGAGCAACCCUGGCUUUCUAACUGGGUGGACUGGUAGCAGCACCCAAACACAGACAGAAAAUAAAAGACAGAAUGAGAUUUGGUCAAUAAAGCGAUCCUAGUAGCAAUGAGGAAAGGGACAGGGUUAACCGGGUAUGGGUUUGUGCUGUGUGUGCUGACAGCACACUAGCAAAGCAGUUAAAAUUACAGCCCAAAUUGCCAUAAAAUAUCAUGACAGCUACUGAACUCAUUAGAGGGAUCGAAGGGGUCUCCCAGGCCAACAGAUCACUUCUGUCAGAGAAAACCUCCGCUGUAGAUGAGUACAUGCAGCCUCUUGGAACCAAGCUCAGACUUUGCUGCUCAGAAGGAAUGAAAUUUUGCUAUUUUCUUGCUCUCUCUCAGAAUUUAACAGCCUUCAGAGUUGAUAACCAUUUAACAGUUAACAACUUGGAAGUUGACACAAAAAUACCUCCAUCUCACCUUUGGGAUGGAAUCAAGUUAUACAUUUUAAUGAUCUGAAAUGACACAAACAGGAAACUUUUAUAAUACAGCAGUACUAUAUACCUCCAAAUAAACAGAGGUCAGAGUUUACUACAAUUACAGAACACUAUUCAAAUACCUCUCCUGGGGCUAGGGACGUAGCUUAGUGAUAGGGUGAGCACUGAGGAGAGGCAAGGCCUUGAGUUCAACGAUGACACCAAAGAAAAAGUGAAAAAAAGUGAGUCGAGUAUCCCGUGGCUGGCACUGUUUCUAAUCUGCGGGGAGCCAGAGCCCCACACCGCGCGGAGCUGUCCUCCUCUGAGAUACAGUCCCCGCCUUCCCUGAAAUUUUUAGGAACAAAUUCUUGAAUGCCUUUCCUCUGGUGCCUGUUUUCAGAAAGCCAUCAGGAGGACACAGCCUUGCUAAGUCCCCGCACUGCCUCUGUGCACCUGCGAAUCACUGUGUAGUACAAGGAGAAUCCCUGUGGGGGAUUUGGAUACAUGGGAGGAGCUAACCUGUGCCAAGCAUCUGCCCACACCCUGAACACACACCCUCCUCACCCUGGACGGACAGCACGUAUAGCAGUAACGGUGUCACUGUGAUUCUCGCAGCUUCACUUCCCGUGUUGGUUUGCAGGACCAGCUCGUGAUCGGCGGUGGCCUUGCACCCACUGAGUGAGUCCUGCAGUAAGCGGCACCCAGUCGCCAUCUCUCGCCAGAUCGUCAACUCAGUUUCCCACAGCUGUAGGGAACCUAACAGGGGACCAGAAAACACCUAGACUUUUUGCGUAUGUGCAAUUUUUUUUUUAAAUAGUAAAGCCAUGAAACAUUUUAAUUGUUAUACUAUGUAUUUAAAAAUAAUGUAAAACAAAUGUUACAAGGCAGUGAAUAACCACUUCUUAUACACAUGACAAAUGUGUCAGCUGUCAGUGUUAAACACAAUCGCAGCUAGGACCAAGACUGUGCCCUUCUCCUGCUUCGAGUGGAUGCUCACUCGGUCCCAGGUGGUUGGUUCGGGACUAACCCAGGCCUUGGGAGUCUGGAUGUGGAGCCGGGAAAAAAUGCUUUCCCCGUGGUGUUUUGCCUCUGGAAAGAAUCUGCGUGUCUCUGCCCACUCAGUGUUAAAGGCACUGGGUGUCUCUUCUGAGGUUUUCAUGUUCUUCUUAUAGGGGGUAUAUGAUACCCCAAAGCCUCAUGUGGUCAUGGGGGAGUCACAGGGUUUGUGAUGGAUUCAUGGUCCAGUGCUGCUGGGAUUAUGGGUGUGAGUGCUACGCCUGCCCUAGGGUGGGUGUGGCCUGCAUACAAUAUAAGUGAGGGAAAGAGUGUUUGUUCCAUCCCCCCACUUUCUUGGUCUUGCUGCUUUUGCUGUUUUCCACCACCAUACAUUGUUCUCUUCUGACAUGCCACCUUGCUUUGGAGCCAGCUGAUUAUGAACUAAAACCUCCACGAACUGUGAGCUAAAUAAACCUUUCCUUCCUUCA